RNAcentral lists this ribosomal RNA (372 nucleotides) under uncultured cyanobacterium. Its description in RNAcentral is "bacterial SSU rRNA". It matches the Rfam family "Bacterial small subunit ribosomal RNA", at positions 103 to 507 of the family's 1533-position model. The record is from RNAcentral. Lineage: Bacteria; Bacillati; Cyanobacteriota.
CGGGUGAGUAACGCGUGAGAAUCUGCCUUAAGGAUUGGGACAACAGUGGGAAACCGCUGCUAAUACCAAAUAUGCCUUUUAGUGAAACGGGUAAAACCGCCUUAAGAUGAGCUCGCGUCUGAUUAGCUAGUUGGUGUGGUAAGAGCGCACCAAGGCGACGAUCAGUAGCUGGUCUGAGAGGACGACCAGCCACACUGGGACUGAGACACGGCCCAGACUCCUACGGGAGGCAGCAGUGAGGAAUUUUCCGCAAUGGGCGAAAGCCUGACGGAGCAAUACCGCGUGAGGGAGGAAGGUUCUUGGAUUGUAAACCUCUUUUCUCAGAGAAGAAUAAUGACGGUAUCUGAGGAAUAAGCGUCGGCUAACUCCGUG